GUUUGAUCCUGGCUCAGGAUGAACGCUAGCGGCAGGCUUAAUACAUGCAAGUCGAGGGGCAGCACGGGUAGCAAUACCUGGUGGCGACCGGCAAACGGGUGCGGAACACGUACGCAACCUUCCUCAGAGCGGGGAAUAGCCCUGAGAAAUUUGGAUUAAUACCCCAUAAUAUAAUGGAGCAGCAUUGCUUUGUUAUUAAAGAUUUAUCACUCUGAGAUGGGCGUGCGGCUGAUUAGGUAGUUGGCGGGGUAACGGCCCACCAAGCCUGCGAUCAGUAGCUGAUGUGAGAGCAUGAUCAGCCACACGGGCACUGAGACACGGGCCCGACUCCUACGGGAGGCAGCAGUAAGGAAUAUUGGUCAAUGGACGAAAGUCUGAACCAGCCAUGCCGCGUGGAGGAUGAAGGUCCUCUGGAUUGUAAACUUCUUUUAUAGGGGACGAAAAAAGGAAAUUCUUUUCCGUCUGACGGUACCCUAUGAAUAAGUACCGGCUAACUCCGUGCCAGCAGNNGCGGUAAUACUGAG
Molecule: ribosomal RNA, 524 nt
Filed under: uncultured bacterium
Lineage: Bacteria
Description: bacterial SSU rRNA
Rfam family: Bacterial small subunit ribosomal RNA
Source: RNAcentral